UGAGGAAUAUUCCACAAUGGGCGCAAGCCUGAUGGAGCGAUGCCGCGUGAGUGAUGAAGGCCUUCGGGUUGUAAAGCUCUUUGAACGGAGAAUAAAGAGGUUUAGCUAAUACCUAAAUCUUAUGAAGGUAUCCGGCAAACAAGCACCGGCUAACCCCGUGCCAGCAGCUGCGGUAAUACGGGGGGUGCAAGCGUUGAUCGGAUUGACUGGGCGUAAAGGGAGCGUAGGCGGUCGGAAAAGUAGGGUGUGAAAUCUUGAGGCUUAACCUCAAAACGGCACCCUAAACUUUCUGACUAGAGGGUGGUAGGGGAAAACAGAAUUCUGCAUGUAGCGGUGAAAUGCGUAGAUAUGCAGAGGAAUACCGGUGGCGAAGGCGGUUUUCUGUACCAUUCCUGACGCUGAGGCUCGAAAGCGUGGGGAUCAAACAGG
Molecule: ribosomal RNA, 429 nt
Filed under: uncultured bacterium
Lineage: Bacteria
Description: bacterial SSU rRNA
Rfam family: Bacterial small subunit ribosomal RNA
Source: RNAcentral